Ctenopharyngodon idella (grass carp) is the source of this 1908-nucleotide long non-coding RNA. RefSeq lists it as uncharacterized. NCBI's taxonomy places the organism in Eukaryota, Metazoa, Chordata, Actinopteri, Cypriniformes, Xenocyprididae. The transcript has 5 exons. The record is from RefSeq and is a predicted model, not a curated record.
GAUUUUGCUAUUAAGUAAGGCAGUUGUUCUUUAUUAUUUGUAUCGGCUGCCAUGCCAAAUCACACAUAUGCUUGUUUUCAUGUUAAAUUAACAGUGGUUUGUGAACGUAGACGCUUUAAUAAAUCAUUUAUCUGGAGCGUUAAUGCUGGGAUGUCUAAGUUGUUGCAAGUGAUCCAACUGGUGUCAGCUGGAAAACCAAAGCCUGCAAAAAACUCUUAUGCCCCUUGUCGCUGUUUCUGCAGAUAUCGCCCCACAAGACCAACCAGGCCUUCGGCGCCACCAAGCUGUCUUUGGACAAAGCGGAGAAUGGGUGGCUGGAGGACUUUUAUCCAUGAGGUCUUCCUUGUUGAGCAGGAAGGAGGCCCACUACUUCUUUUUUACUUCUAUUCCCAGCUCCUGUAAAAAUUUAAUCUGGAAUGGGCACCUUCACUGAUUUAGGACAUUCCUGUGCAUGUUUCUGCUGUGUACGUUUCCGAUGUGUGUGUUUGUUUUGUGUUUGUAACUCUUUGCCUAUGCUUUUCCCACUCCGAACAGGUGAAGAACACCUACAGACCGAUACAAAGUGGCACAAUUCACAUGCCAUGACACCUCCACAGCUGGCAGGUUCUAUGUGUUGAACCUCAACACAAAGCAAUAAUAAUAAUUCCUUACAUUUAUAUAGCGCUUUUCUGGGCACUCAAAGCACUUUACAUAUUGAAGGGGGAAUCUCCUCAACCACCACCAAUGUGCAGCACCACCUGGAUGAUGUGACAGCAGCCAUAUUGCGCCAGAACGCCCACCACACACACUAUACUGGGGUGUUAGGACCCACACAGACCACAGGGUGAGCGCCCUCUGCUGGCCUCACUAACGCCUCUUCCAGCAGCUACCUAGUUUUCCCAGGAGGUCUCCCAUCCAGGUACUAACCAGGCUCAGCCCUGCUUAGCUUCAGUGGGCAACCAGUCUUGGGCUACAGGGUGAUAUGGCUGCUGGCGGCAGAACGUCGUCUCAUGGAUUGGUUUAACUGUUUUUGACAAGUACAGGCAUUAAGUCUUUUCCUUUCUCAUUCUUCCCAGGAGGGACCAAGAGGAGGCUCUUCAAUGCGAAAAGGAAGACACCAGCCAGGGUAAAACUCAUGCCAGUGGUGCAGCUCUCCCGCUGAAAUCACCCCAAAAAUAUCAGCUGUACCAAAAGAUGAUGUACAGGAGACACAGAGGUGAACGUAGAUGGGAGUUUAUUUACAAACAGCAGGGAAACAGUGAUGCAGGAAUGGAGAUUGUGGAUGGAUGGACGAACGUCAACGGAGUGCACACAUGUAGGAGGUAGGUAGACACACACAGACGAAGAAGCAUGGAGACUGAGGAAACAUGCUGGAGUGAAACAGGGAAGUAGAUCGGCAGACUUGGAGAUAAACAUGAAGAAGUCCUUUACGUAGGAACGCAUAAACCAGACCGGACAACUGAGUGAGGUGAGUGAUGUGCUUAAAUAGUCUGGUGAUGGUGUGCUGAUGAGAAGCAGGUGUGUGUGAUUGUCAGAUCAGGAGCGGUGAUGAGGAAGUGUGUGCAGGUGUGGGCCAGGGAGGAUGAUGGGAAAUGGAGUCUUUGGAAGCCAAGACAGACUCUCAAUGAGUCCUGCGGUAAAAGUAAAGACAUGAGUGACAGGUGCACUAACACCUCACAGCACCAGUAACUCCACAACCCUACCUAGAGCGGUUUUCCUCAGUGUUUGCAAUGUCUGCACAGAGAAGACGUCGGGCAGCUGCUCGAAGAUCUCGCCUUUGAAGAACUGACCACCGUGAACACCUUCACCUGUGUUUGUCAUCCAUCAUGUCCCUCACUGCUGCUCUUCUCAGUGGGGACAUUGUUGAUCCAGAGGAUGAGGAAGACCUUGAUGACGGACCCCUGAACCCCACAACCUUGACAAUCUGGC